RNAcentral lists this long non-coding RNA (296 nucleotides) under Ricinus communis (castor bean). RNAcentral's name for it is "long non-coding RNA (RCOM_LNC003642)". The record is from RNAcentral. Lineage: Eukaryota; Viridiplantae; Streptophyta; Magnoliopsida; Malpighiales; Euphorbiaceae.
UUAUUGAAAUGUUUAAGUAGCAAGUAUGCGAAAUGUUAUUUUUAAGGUGCACACUUUUGUUGUUGAUAAUGAAUUAACGAUGAUGUGGUGUAGAAAUCUGAUAUAUCAUAUACUGCUUUUAAGAAAACGUUGGGAUGCACAUGAUGCCUUUAGGGUCUGCACCUCGUCGUUAUCUUUUUGGGGUAGUUCUACAUGCAUGUAUGACAUGAAGGCAAGACUGAGCAACAUACUCGAUGGAUUAUUGCCUAUGUUAUGAUAGGACUUCUUGGUAGAUUAACAUAUAAAAUGGAUUAACC